This 2114-nucleotide ribosomal RNA is filed under the name Escherichia coli. RNAcentral's name for it is "partial 23S ribosomal RNA". It matches the Rfam family "Bacterial large subunit ribosomal RNA", at positions 1 to 2136 of the family's 2925-position model. The record is from RNAcentral. Lineage: Bacteria; Pseudomonadati; Pseudomonadota; Gammaproteobacteria; Enterobacterales; Enterobacteriaceae.
GGUUAAGCGACUAAGCGUACACGGUGGAUGCCCUGGCAGUCAGAGGCGAUGAAGGACGUGCUAAUCUGCGAUAAGCGUCGGUAAGGUGAUAUGAACCGUUAUAACCGGCGAUUUCCGAAUGGGGAAACCCAGUGUGUUUCGACACACUAUCAUUAACUGAAUCCAUAGGUUAAUGAGGCGAACCGGGGGAACUGAAACAUCUAAGUACCCCGAGGAAAAGAAAUCAACCGAGAUUCCCCCAGUAGCGGCGAGCGAACGGGGAGCAGCCCAGAGCCUGAAUCAGUGUGUGUGUUAGUGGAAGCGUCUGGAAAGGCGCGCGAUACAGGGUGACAGCCCCGUACACAAAAAUGCACAUUCUGUGAGCUCGAUGAGUAGGGCGGGACACGUGGUAUCCUGUCUGAAUAUGGGGGGACCAUCCUCCAAGGCUAAAUACUCCUGACUGACCGAUAGUGAACCAGUACCGUGAGGGAAAGGCGAAAAGAACCCCGGCGAGGGGAGUGAAAAAGAACCUGAAACCGUGUACGUACAAGCAGUGGGAGCACAGAGCAAUCUGUGUGACUGCGUACCUUUUGUAUAAUGGGUCAGCGACUUAUAUUCUGUAGCAAGGUUAACCGAAUAGGGGAGCCGAAGGGAAACCGAGUCUUAACUGGGCGUUAAGUUGCAGGGUAUAGACCCGAAACCCGGUGAUCUAGCCAUGGGCAGGUUGAAGGUUGGGUAACACUAACUGGAGGACCGAACCGACUAAUGUUGAAAAAUUAGCGGAUGACUUGUGGCUGGGGGUGAAAGGCCAAUCAAACCGGGAGAUAGCUGGUUCUCCCCGAAAGCUAUUUAGGUAGCGCCUCGUGAAUUCAUCUCCGGGGGUAGAGCACUGUUUCGGCAAGGGGGUCAUCCCGACUUACCAACCCGAUGCAAACUGCGAAUACCGGAGAAUGUUAUCACGGGAGACACACGGCGGGUGCUAACGUCCGUCGUGAAGAGGGAAACAACCCAGACCGCCAGCUAAGGUCCCAAAGUCAUGGUUAAGUGGGAAACGAUGUGGGAAGGCCCAGACAGCCAGGAUGUUGGCUUAGAAGCAGCCAUCAUUUAAAGAAAGCGUAAUAGCUCACUGGUCGAGUCGGCCUGCGCGGAAGAUGUAACGGGGCUAAACCAUGCACCGAAGCUGCGGCAGCGACGCUUAUGCGUUGUUGGGUAGGGGAGCGUUCUGUAAGCCUGUGAAGGUGUGCUGUGAGGCAUGCUGGAGGUAUCAGAAGUGCGAAUGCUGACAUAAGUAACGAUAAAGCGGGUGAAAAGCCCGCUCGCCGGAAGACCAAGGGUUCCUGUCCAACGUUAAUCGGGGCAGGGUGAGUCGACCCCUAAGGCGAGGCCGAAAGGCGUAGUCGAUGGGAAACAGGUUAAUAUUCCUGUACUUGGUGUUACUGCGAAGGGGGGACGGAGAAGGCUAUGUUGGCCGGGCGACGGUUGUCCCGGUUUAAGCGUGUAGGCUGGUUUUCCAGGCAAAUCCGGAAAAUCAAGGCUGAGGCGUGAUGACGAGGCACUACGGUGCUGAAGCAACAAAUGCCCUGCUUCCAGGAAAAGCCUCUAAGCAUCAGGUAACAUCAAAUCGUACCCCAAACCGACACAGGUGGUCAGGUAGAGAAUACCAAGGCGCUUGAGAGAACUCGGGUGAAGGAACUAGGCAAAAUGGUGCCGUAACUUCGGGAGAAGGCACGCUGAUAUGUAGGUGAAGUCCCUCGCGGAUGGAGCUGAAAUCAGUCGAAGAUACCAGCUGGCUGCAACUGUUUAUUAAAAACACAGCACUGUGCAAACACGAAAGUGGACGUAUACGGUGUGACGCCUGCCCGGUGCCGGAAGGUUAAUUGAUGGGGUUAGCGGUAACGCGAAGCUCUUGAUCGAAGCCCCGGUAAACGGCGGCCGUAACUAUAACGGUCCUAAGGUAGCGAAAUUCCUUGUCGGGUAAGUUCCGACCUGCACGAAUGGCGUAAUGAUGGCCAGGCUGUCUCCACCCGAGACUCAGUGAAAUUGAACUCGCUGUGAAGAUGCAGUGUACCCGCGGCAAGACGGAAAGACCCCGUGAACCUUUACUAUAGCUUGACACUGAACAUUGAGCCUUGAUG